AAAGGUAUUUGGUUAUAUUUUGCCUGAAAGGCGCAUGAGAGCCUGAAUUGUCACGUAUCUUUCAGGGAAAACCACACCAACUAUUUAAAGGAAGGUCCAACACCUGACAAACCUGUCUUCAUAGCGGAUGACGGUGCCGAUGGUGAGCAAACGGCGAAUUUCCUAUAUACCAACUACAAGAAUUGUGUCGUAGUGGACAUCCCGUUCAAGAAAAGACGAAGCUGUGGUCUGUGGGUCUCCCCAGAUGCGGUGCACAGUUUCCCGCACGAAUGCACAGACCAGUUCGAGGACAGCUGUGACAUGACGGUCUCGGUGUUCGACGACGAAACGUGCGAGGGUGUGUUUAACAAC
Molecule: long non-coding RNA, 351 nt
Organism: Dermacentor silvarum
Lineage: Eukaryota; Metazoa; Arthropoda; Arachnida; Ixodida; Ixodidae
Exons: 3
Source: RefSeq, a predicted model, not a curated record